RNAcentral lists this ribosomal RNA (494 nucleotides) under uncultured bacterium. RNAcentral's name for it is "partial 16S ribosomal RNA". It matches the Rfam family "Bacterial small subunit ribosomal RNA", at positions 28 to 507 of the family's 1533-position model. The record is from RNAcentral.
GACGAACGCUGGCGGCGUGCUUAACACAUGCCAGUCGAACGGUGAAGCGCCUUCCUUUUUGGUGGGUGUGGAUGAGUGGCGAACGGGUGAGUAACACGUGAGUAACCUGCCCCCUUCUCCUGGAUAACCGCAUGAAAGUGUGGCUAAUACGGGAUAUUCUGGGUCUGUCGCAUGAUGGGUCUGGGAAAGAUAUUGUUUCGGUGGGGGAUGGGCUCGCGGCCUAUCAGCUUGUUGGUGGGGUGAUGGCCUACCAAGGCGGUGACGGGUAGCCGGCCUGAGAGGGUGGACGGUCACACUGGGACUGAGACACGGCCCAGACUCCUACGGGAGGCAGCAGUGGGGAAUAUUGCACAAUGGGCGCAAGCCUGAUGCAGCGACGCCGCGUGGGGGAUGGAGGCCUUCGGGUUGUGAACCUCUUUCGCCAGUGAAGCAGGCCUGCCUCGUUUGUGGGUGGGUUGACGGUAGCUGGAUAAGAAGCGCCGGCUAACUACGUG